AAGGAAGUUUUUAAUUAUGUAUUUUUUGUUUGUUUGUUUAGGGGAGGAAUAUUCUUGAAACAGAUCAUCCAGAAGGUCCUUUUGGCACUAAGCUCAAUUCCCUCAAAGGAGACGAAGGAAAGCGACAACUCCAUUUUAUUUGUGUGUGACUCCAUUUCUCUGUUUUAAGAAAAUGAAGAAGGUUUCAAACUUGCAAAAGAAGACGGCUGCCGCACAAAAGGGUGAACAAGUUACCGCCAAUUUUCGGUUGCCUCUAUUUAGAUCCAGUGCU
Long non-coding RNA from Vicia villosa (hairy vetch), 271 nucleotides. RefSeq lists it as uncharacterized. The transcript is spliced from 3 exons. The record is from RefSeq and is a predicted model, not a curated record. Lineage: Eukaryota; Viridiplantae; Streptophyta; Magnoliopsida; Fabales; Fabaceae.